UUAAUCAUUUCUAAGAAUCUAUAUAGUAGUAAUAAGUAAUCAUUUGUACUCUGAGCGCAAGCAGCCAAAAACACUUUACCCUUGCCCGACGCAGCCAAUGAUACGGCGUCUACUGCUGCCUAGAUACUCUAGUGAUGGGGAGCGGAAUUCGGAGACGCAGCAGGCAGUACACCUAGAGAGCUGACAGGAAACUGUUUGACGACUCCAGAUCUUGGCAGAGAGAGAAAAACAUGGCAACAGUCUGGGAUGAUCCACAGUUCCUUUCCUUUGAUGAAAACGAGUUCGAUGAUGUAUUUGAACAACCAUCUCCUGCCUCCUUGGAGAUAAAGUCUCAGGAGUGUAGGAUAUCAGAUGCAACUAGCAACUAUAUGCAUGGGUAUAUGACAGGCAGCCCUGCCAACAGCAUCAGCCACAUUGGGAUAGUUUGCCCAGGAAUGGUUACACUUCAUUCGCUAAGCAAUGGACGGGACUCAGGUUAUGGCCCAUCUCCUUCAUUGUUUCAAUCCUUCACAUCAUCCAGUGAUGAGGAUGACUCUGUUGACUUACCUGGGAGAACUCAUCCAGGUGUCACUCCACCGAUAGCAAUUCCUCCUUGUUUGCGUUCUGCUCAAAGGCAUAAGAUAAGUUAUCACUCCCGUCAAGAGAUCAUUCAUAAAGCUGCUCAGAACCCUAUGUUAAUAAGACGAGGCAGGUCAAAGUCUUGUCCUGCCACUUCAAGAGCUUCAGCACGGCAGCGUCUUCCAGUAUCCUUAAGACGUACAUUCACUCCUGUGCCAACCCAUGAGAGCUCUUGCUUCAUACCAAGAGGAGACAACAAUGAACACUGUCACUUGAAGUCUUCUCAUAAAACAGAAAGUGCCAUCAUACAGGAUCCCAAUGAUCUGAGCAGGAAAGAGGGGACCCUUGGCCACCAGUGUCGUGUGUUGGUGUUGGCAUUACCUGACCUUGUGGUAGAGAGUGAGAGAGACUCCCCAGAUUCCAACACCGAGGUGUCUCCAACCCCAGCUUGCUCUAGCAGGUCACGAGCAUUCUCUUGUGAGGUAACCCUUGCUGAGGAGGUUGGGCGAAAGCUGCGGUGGAUUGCUGACUCUUUUUCUGCAACAAAAGCACAAUCAUCUAAUGCAUCACUUUAAGUAAACAGUUACAAUGCCUGCUAUCAAGCGCCCAGCCAUGAUGUCAUGGGAUAUAUGAGUGCUCAUUGGCCAAAACCGCCUUCCCCAGAGAGGCCAGCCACCAGGAUACGUCAGGGACAAGAAAUUUUAAGGAGUGAUGUCUACAACAUCUAGUAUAUGAUCGCCAGCGAGUCUCAGGAUGUGAGGGACGGCCUGUGGAAUCUACUAUGACAGUGACAGUACCAGCCACCUAUUAGCAGUUCAAACCCAGCAUGUAUUUAAGAUGGUUUACUUGGCUAGGUGGAUGCCAUUCACCAUGUUUCUCUAGGCUAAUGGAAGGGCCUAGGAGGAUGUUUAGCAGCCAGCAGCAUUACACCAAGUGCUAGAGAGAAGAAACAUUACCUGUUCUCAGCACAGCCAGUUACAUUGGUGCAUCAUUGCCCCGACACAUGCCAUCUGCUGCCAAUCCACUUAACAUCUGCCUGUUGGGGUGACACCUGUCAUCUACCUUCCAUUAGGACAAUGCCAAGUCCCAGAAUCUUUCUUGCCAUCCACCACCAUCCUAACAUCACCAUGGCUGCAGAUAAGUUCUUCUGUUUUUUUUCACUAUCCCUGCUAAGGGCAGAUUUGGGCCUUCCACUCCUGGUCAUCACCAAGAGCAGGGAGAAAUACUAGGUAGGAUUACCUUUCCUCUACUUGGUUAUUAAGUUUGAAUAUCUUGUUGAGUUUGGUUUUAUAUUUAUACAUCAAUUGAAUAAACAUCUGCUGAAUUGAUAAUUACUUCUAUUGUGAUCUAAUGCACUGAAUGAGGGGAUGCUGUGAACUUAUCAUUAAAGCCAAUGACCUCACAGAAUGUUUCCCCUUGUGUCUCACAAUACUAGGGAGCAGUCACAGCCUGCCCUUUAAAGACUUCCUUCACCCAAAAUUACAUGCCACUUUUUACACACACACACACAGGUAAAAUUGAAAAACUGUUUGAAAAGUAUGAGGGCCUGGAAACGAG
Molecule: unclassified non-coding RNA, 2115 nt
Filed under: Portunus trituberculatus (swimming crab)
Lineage: Eukaryota; Metazoa; Arthropoda; Malacostraca; Decapoda; Portunidae
Description: uncharacterized LOC123518957, transcript variant X2
Source: RNAcentral